AAUAAUAUCUGGCACUUGACUUGGUUUCUCUAGCUUUUGCAACAUCUCCUAUGGCUGUUUUGGUGAUAGCAGUUUGAAAAACUAAAUUGCUAUAUAUCUGGAAUUUAUGAAUGCACAUAAAUCAUUAUAUCAUUAAACAAUUGUCUUUGAAAUCCUUUAAAUCAUUAAACUCCCCCUCUCCAUGAUAGCAGAAACAUGUUAACAAAUAGAGCUCUCUAUAAAUAACACAGCAGGGAAGAAAGCUCCCGCUGGGCACCCAUUUCCCCCUUCUUACAUAGAGACUAUUUGUUACCUUCUUGGCACCGGCAGGUCUGGAACUCCUGCUGCUAAAGACUAAUGUAUUUUACAUUAACACUCAAAGUGAUCCCCAAUUUCUUCUGCUCAAGGGUGGAUUGUUUUUAAAAUUCUUUUAUCUUUACAUGUAAAUUAUUUAUAGACUUUUUUUUUUUCCAUUUCUAGUUUGGUGUGGUUGGCAAAUCUCUACCACUAAAAACAAGCUCACCACUCC
RNAcentral lists this long non-coding RNA (508 nucleotides) under Homo sapiens (human). RNAcentral describes it as "long non-coding RNA NONHSAT254936". Lineage: Eukaryota; Metazoa; Chordata; Mammalia; Primates; Hominidae. The record is from RNAcentral.